CAAUAGCGUAUAUUUAAGUUGUUGCAGUUAAAAAGCUCGUAGUUGGAUUUUGGGUCGGGGGCACCGGUCCGCCGUUCCGGUGUGCACUGGUGGCCCCUUCCUUUCUGCCGGGGACGUGCGUCGCACUUAAUUGGGUGGCGUUCGGAGUCGGCGUUGUUACUUUGAAAAAAUUGGAGUGUUCAAAGCAAGCCAUCGCCCUGAAUACAUUAGCAUGGAAUAACAUGAUAGGACUCCGGUCUUAUUUUGUUGGUUUCCGAGACUGGAGUAAUGAUUAAGAGGGACAGUCGGGGGCAUCCGUAUUUCAUUGUCAGAGGUGAAAUUCUUGGAUUUAUGAAAGACGAACUUCUGCGAAAGCAUUUGCCAAGGAUGUUUUCAUUAA
RNAcentral lists this ribosomal RNA (379 nucleotides) under uncultured eukaryote. RNAcentral's name for it is "partial 18S ribosomal RNA". It matches the Rfam family "Eukaryotic small subunit ribosomal RNA", at positions 592 to 976 of the family's 1831-position model. The record is from RNAcentral.